This 77-nucleotide transfer RNA is filed under the name Fidelibacterota bacterium. RNAcentral describes it as "tRNA-Asn". It matches the Rfam family "tRNA". Rfam says of the family: Transfer RNA (tRNA) molecules are approximately 80 nucleotides in length. Their secondary structure includes four short double-helical elements and three loops (D, anti-codon, and T loops). Further hydrogen bonds mediate the characteristic L-shaped molecular structure. tRNAs have two regions of fundamental functional importance: the anti-codon, which is responsible for specific mRNA codon recognition, and the 3' end, to which the tRNAs corresponding amino acid is attached (by aminoacyl-tRNA synthetases). tRNAs cope with the degeneracy of the genetic code in two manners: having more than one tRNA (with a specific anti-codon) for a particular amino acid; and 'wobble' base-pairing, i.e. permitting non-standard base-pairing at the 3rd anti-codon position. The record is from RNAcentral. Lineage: Bacteria; Pseudomonadati; Fidelibacterota.
UCCGGUGUAGCUCAGUCGGUUAGAGCAGUGGACUGUUAAUCCACGUGUCGUAGGUUCGAGUCCUACCACCGGAGCCA